Molecule: long non-coding RNA, 684 nt
Filed under: Rattus norvegicus (Norway rat)
Lineage: Eukaryota; Metazoa; Chordata; Mammalia; Rodentia; Muridae
Description: long non-coding RNA NONRATT007873
Source: RNAcentral
UAGGUCAAAAGGUCAAGGCCCGUGUGGGCUCCAAGUACAAGGCCAGCCUAGGCUAUGUAUAACAAGACCCUGUCUCAGAAUUAGUAACACUGGCUGGGACUGACUGGGGCUCUGUGGUAGAGUGCUUACUUAGCAUACUUAAGGCCUGAGUCCUCAGCUCCACAAAAACAAAAAAGAGUUACUAAUUAGAUACCUCUGUGUGCCAGCUCUGUUGAGUACUUUGGUAAGUGUUGCUCUCUGUGGCAUUUCCCCUCCAGGCAGCUCUAGAAAGUAAAGGUUACUGGCCCGGUUUUCAGAGGCAAACGGUAAAGCUCGGCAUGGUGAGACAUGCCUGGAAUCUCAGCUACACGGUGGGUUUGAGGCUAGCCCCUCGGCAAAUGUGAGAAUUAGAUAUUCUCGAAGGAUCCAACGAUACUGCUUGGUUUCUUGGUUCCUAAUCCAGUGUCCUGAGAAGGCGCGGUUGUCAUCGGCUGCCAGAGACUUGCCGUCCUACCCAUCCCAUCCUGCUCAGUGCCCGUGGGUCCUUGCUUGUGUCUGGUGUGACUGUGUACCGGGCAGUCUAUGUAACAUCGUCUUCCCACAGCCAUCCCUGACGGGACUUCUGCCAGACUGGUGCCCUGCAGCAGCAGGCUGGUGAUCCACCCUGUGAGUUACCUCUGUAUAAAAACCAGCCUCCAACCUGCC